GCUCCGGUGGAUUAGUGGUUAGAGCGUCCGCCUCAGAUGCCGGAGGUCGCGGGUUCGAACCCAGACUGAAUCA
Non-coding RNA from Potamilus streckersoni, 73 nucleotides. Lineage: Eukaryota; Metazoa; Mollusca; Bivalvia; Unionida; Unionidae. The record is from the annotation of a GenBank genome assembly.